This 22-nucleotide microRNA is filed under the name Nematostella vectensis (starlet sea anemone). RNAcentral's name for it is "nve-miR-2044-5p". The record is from miRBase by way of RNAcentral. Lineage: Eukaryota; Metazoa; Cnidaria; Anthozoa; Actiniaria; Edwardsiidae.
UUAUCAAGAUAAAUGCCAUAAA